ACGGUAACAGAAAGCAGCUUGCUGCUUUGCUGACGAGUGGCGGACGGGUGAGUAAUGUCUGGGAAACUGCCUGAUGGAGGGGGAUAACUACUGGAAACGGUAGCUAAUACCGCAUAAUGUCGCAAGACCAAAGAGGGGGACCUUCGGGCCUCUUGCCAUCGGAUGUGCCCAGAUGGGAUUAGCUAGUAGGUGGGGUAACGGCUCACCUAGGCGACGAUCCCUAGCUGGUCUGAGAGGAUGACCAGCCACACUGGAACUGAGACACGGUCCAGACUCCUACGGGAGGCAGCAGUGGGGAAUAUUGCACAAUGGGCGCAAGCCUGAUGCAGCCAUGCCGCGUGUAUGAAGAAGGCCUUCGGGUUGUAAAGUACUUUCAGCGGGGAGGAAGGGAGUAAAGUUAAUACCUUUGCUCAUUGACGUUACCCGCAGAAGAAGCACCGGCUAACUCCGUGCCAGCAGCCGCGGUAAUACGGAGGGUGCAAGCGUUAAUCGGAAUUACUGGGCGUAAAGCGCACGCAGGCGGUUUGUUAAGUCAGAUGUGAAAUCCCCGGGCUCAACCUGGGGACUGCAUCUGAUACUGGCAAGCUUGAGUCUCGUAGAGGGGGGUAGAAUUCCAGGUGUAGCGGUGAAAUGCGUAGAGAUCUGGAGGAAUACCGGUGGCGAAGGCGGCCCCCUGGACGAAGACUGACGCUCAGGUGCGAAAGCGUGGGGAGCAAACAGG
RNAcentral lists this ribosomal RNA (721 nucleotides) under uncultured Pseudomonadota bacterium. RNAcentral's name for it is "bacterial SSU rRNA". It matches the Rfam family "Bacterial small subunit ribosomal RNA", at positions 66 to 776 of the family's 1533-position model. The record is from RNAcentral. Lineage: Bacteria; Pseudomonadati; Pseudomonadota.